RNAcentral lists this ribosomal RNA (429 nucleotides) under Bacteroidota bacterium. RNAcentral's name for it is "Bacteroidetes bacterium partial 16S ribosomal RNA". It matches the Rfam family "Bacterial small subunit ribosomal RNA", at positions 355 to 776 of the family's 1533-position model. The record is from RNAcentral. Lineage: Bacteria; Pseudomonadati; Bacteroidota.
UAGGGAAUCUUCGGCAAUGGGGGGAACCCUGACCGAGCAACGCCGCGUGAGUGAAGAAGGUUUUCGGAUCGUAAAGCUCUGUUGUUAAGGAAGAACGAGUGUGAGAAUGGAAAGUUCAUACUGUGACGGUACUUAACCAGAAAGGGACGGCUAACUACGUGCCAGCAGCCGCGGUAAUACGUAGGUCCCGAGCGUUGUCCGGAUUUAUUGGGCGUAAAGCGAGCGCAGGCGGUUAGAAAAGUCUGAAGUGAAAGGCAGUGGCUCAACCAUUGUAGGCUUUGGAAACUGUUUAACUUGAGUGCAGAAGGGGAGAGUGGAAUUCCAUGUGUAGCGGUGAAAUGCGUAGAUAUAUGGAGGAACACCGGUGGCGAAAGCGGCUCUCUGGUCUGUAACUGACGCUGAGGCUCGAAAGCGUGGGGAGCAAACAGG